Molecule: RNA transcript, 2300 nt
Organism: Capsicum annuum
Lineage: Eukaryota; Viridiplantae; Streptophyta; Magnoliopsida; Solanales; Solanaceae
Exons: 4
Source: RefSeq, a predicted model, not a curated record
UGCUGUGGCAGGGUUAUGCAAAUUGGGGAAGAUUGAUGACUCAAGAGAUGUUAUAAAUUACUUCUCACUAAAAGGCUUUACUCCCGAUGAGUUUACCUACUGCACCUUGGUCCAUGGCAUGUCAUUGGUUGUUAAAGUGAAUGAAGCUUUCAAUUUGCACGAUGAGAUGCUAAUAAAGGAUCUUGUUCCAAACAUUGCAGUAUACAAUGCUCUAAUAAAUGGCCUUUGUAAAGCAGGGAACAUUGAACGAGCAUCGAGACUUUUCAAUACGCUUCAUUCGAAAGGGUUAGCUCCGAAUGUUAUAACUUAUAACACUCUGAUAGAUGGAUACUAUAAGAUUGCUAAAACUAGUGAAGCCGUGCAACUGCUGAAGAGAAUGACAGAAGAAGAAAACGUUCCGUCAUAACUUCUUCAAUUCUGAUUAGUGGUCUGCAUAAGCAAUUUGAUAUUCAAGAACAAAUGAAGCUUUUAAGCUGGACGACAGAAGGAAGGAUGGUUUAGACGAGAUUCUUGUGAGACAGAGCAAAAAGAGAAGUGGAUAUUCCUUCAUUCAGCAUGCGAUAACAAUUCAUCAAUUUCCAAACAGCUGAAAGGACAAUGACCUUUGCAUGCUGACCAGUCAUGGUCUCUAUUUGAAGACUAAGUUGACACAUGUUUCUACAACUGAACUAUUCUUCUUUAGCUAAUUGCAAUGCCAAAAAUUUGUAGCUGAUUAAACCACUUCCCGGUAGAGAUGUUGUCAGGAUACAAUAUCGUAUGGUGUGUCGUGGUUUCUUGAUUUUGGGACAGACGUAUACAGUAAGAUUUUGUGGAGUUCGGGGGGGGGUUAAGUUUAGAAGAUGAAGGAGAGGAAGUGGGAAUUUCUCAGGCAUGCUAUCCCCGGAAUGAGCCCCUAUAUGAGCUGAUUGCAUGAAUUUGAGUUAAAGACCCAACAAAGAAAUAUAAUAAACUUCUCAAACUCAUUUAAUUUUUCUUAAAGCGGGAUGAUAGUCAAUAUCUUUAGUUUCUAUGACCAAAUCAUUGACAAUAAGCUGGUGACCGUGAUUUCUUAUAAUCAGGCAAGACAAGAUCUAUUAAAAGUUUAAAACAUCUGGAAGACUAUUAAACUUCAGCUCCAUUUAGUGAGAUCAAGUCACAAGUUGUUUAUUUUAUGCAUGAAAUUUGAUCCCGGCUAAGGAUUAUGUUGUGUGUGGAUUAUCAUCAUCUAGUCUGUUCUUGGCCCUUUUUUCUGCAAUUUACUGAAUAUUUUGGUUCUUGCUUAACUUUCUGUCUUUUCUGAAUGAUGCUUUCUCUUCGCGUGCCUGUUGUCAUAUAACUACCACAGAUUCACUUCUAAGUAAGCGGAAGAUCAGAAAACAAUUUAUAAACGUUUAUUUGAAGUGUUUCUUUUGCGUGGGUGGGUGGGGUGGGAGAAGCUGAACUUCCCAUGGUGUUCAUUUGGGAUUUUCCCAUAGAUUUGUUAUGAUUGAAUGCUGGGAUUGUCGGUGAGGGAAAAUGUCAGGAGAUGGACUUCAAGAUAUGUGCUACAAUUUCAUUGCCUUCGGCAGUCAACUGUUCAUCAGUGCAAGUCUAGAGACAUGUUCUAUAGCUUGUAAACUCUAUUGUACCGAGUCUCAACGCAAGAUAUCAUGUCAUGAAAGGCGAAUAUAUUUCUUGGUUCUCCUCUGCUAUUAAAAGCAUUGGCUGAUUAAUGGGAUGAACAGGUUGGCACAAGGGCAAGCUCUGAUUAUCUGAUCAUGAAAUUGAACCAUGUAAAACGUUAUAUCAACUCAAUAUGGGCAAGACCAUUUUUUGAUACGCAGAGCUUCGAGAGCACAGUGCAAGGUUAUUUAACCAGGUUAGUACAGCACCCAAGGGUGUGGCCUAGUUGUCAAUGAAGUGGUUGAGAGCCAUGAGCUCUCGGGUUCAAAUCCCCAGCGGAGAGAAACACACUAGGUGAUUUCUUCCUAUCCGUUUUAGCCUUGGUGGACAGUGUUACCUGGUUCAUAUUGCUGGUGGGAGCUGACAGGUAUUCCAUGGAAUUAGUCAAGGUGCACGAAAGCUUUGCCCGAACUCCAUGGUCAUAAGAAUGAACAGGUAACAAGGUGAAUGUGAGGUGCAGAAGGAGCAUUUUCCCAAGGUAUUGCUCCGUCACCGAUGUAUAACUAGCUCAACUUGACUAAAAGAGUUCGGUAAUUUUUACCAUGCGCCUUAAUAAUUGUUGGCACACAGGGUUUGUAACAUUCAUUAGUUCCCAACUGUGGCAUGAUUCAGUUCAUUGAACUGCACACAUAUUAAUAAAAAUUGACAAAUGUUAAUGA